This is a non-coding RNA of Phthorimaea operculella (potato tuberworm), 72 nucleotides long. NCBI's taxonomy places the organism in Eukaryota, Metazoa, Arthropoda, Insecta, Lepidoptera, Gelechiidae. The record is from the annotation of a GenBank genome assembly.
GCAUCGAUAGCUCAGUGGCAGAGUGGUGGGGCGUUUACGCAUGCGGCCCGGGUUCGAUUCCCGGUCGAUGUA